This 261-nucleotide ribosomal RNA is filed under the name uncultured bacterium. Its description in RNAcentral is "partial small subunit ribosomal RNA". It matches the Rfam family "Bacterial small subunit ribosomal RNA", at positions 27 to 285 of the family's 1533-position model. The record is from RNAcentral.
GGGAUGAACGCUGGCGGCGUGCUUAACACAUGCAAGUCGAACGGUGAAAGAGGAGCUUGCUCCUCUGGAUCAGUGGCGAACGGGUGAGUAACACGUGAGUAACCUGCCCUUGACUCUGGGAUAAGCGUUGGAAACGACGUCUAAUACCGGAUACGACCUCCGAAGGCAUCUUCUGGAAGUGGAAAGAAUUUCGGUCAAGGAUGGACUCGCGGCCUAUCAGCUAGUUGGUGAGGUAACGGCCCACCAAGGCGACGACGGGUA